This is a non-coding RNA of Chlorocebus sabaeus (green monkey), 2877 nucleotides long. The record is from RefSeq and is a predicted model, not a curated record. Lineage: Eukaryota; Metazoa; Chordata; Mammalia; Primates; Cercopithecidae.
ACCUCAGGUGAUCUGCCUGCCUAGGCCUCCCAAAGUGCUGGGAUUACAGGCAUGAGCCACCAUGCCCAGCCAAUCAUCAUUCUACUUUCUACUUCCAUGAGUUCAACUUUAUUUGAUUCCAUACAUAAGUGAGAUCACAGGUUACUUUUAUUUUUCAGUAUUAUAAAUAAAACUGAACACUUUUGUGUAUAACACAUUUUUAGAAUUUAGAAUUUUUUCCUCAUUUUUAGAAGUGGUAUUAUUAAUCAAAGUUAUGAAGCUUUUAAAGUUUUUUUGAUAUACAUAUCCAAUUGUUAUUCCAAAGAUUUGUAUGGGCUUAAACCCCCCUGAGUAAUGUGUGACAGUGCCCAUUUCAACAAAUACCUGCCAACAAUUAAAAGUAUUCACCAAUUUUACAUGUAACAAAUGAUAGUACCAUUAAAAACUUAUUAUUAGUGAGAUUGAAUACUUUUAUACACUUGUGAAUUUCCUGUUUGUCGUUUUACCUAUUGGUAUCUUAAUGGGGUAUUGUAAAAUUUUUGAUUUGUAUGAGUUUGUAUGCAAUUUUUUUCCUCUGUUAAAGACAAAAAUCGUUCUUUUAAUAGUUUCUUAGUCAUCUAUUGCAUCAUUAUUAUGUGUUAUUACAACUGGUUGAUGAGAAAGCAAAGCUUGCCAGCAUGGCAGAGAGGAUCAGAGAAGAGAGAUCAUGGAGAUAUUGACUAACAUAUUUUUUCCUGAGUCUGAAAGAAAAACAUUGUUUAUGGGUAAUUCUAUGACAGACCACAUGUGGGCUGUAACCACAUCAGUAUUCACCUUAAGAGUUACUUUGUCACUCAAUACCUUCUGUAAGAGUCCUGCUUCUAUUGUACUAGUGGAAGAGUUAAUACUCAGUAAAUUAAAGAUUAUUGGUAACAGUUUCACUCAUCUUACCAUUAACAUGUGAAACCACCUCCAGGAAAUGUUUCAGGUACAGAGUGACAGCCAUUGUUUCCUUAUUGUUCUUGUGGAAACUAAAACAAUGAGAAUUUAAUAACUUUGAAUAAUAGAAUUUUAGAGCUGGUAAAGCCUUAGAAAAUGCUAAUUCUCAAUGUUUUUGUUUUACAGUUAAGGAAACUGCAGACCUAGAAAGUUAUGUGACUUGCCCUAUGUCACACAGUCAAGAAACAGAAGAAACAGAACAUUACCAGGAACCCAGAAGCCUCCCUUCUGCCCACCAUCGUGACUCCUUUCCUCCUUCUCACAGCUAAACACUGUCUUGACUUCUAACCCCAUCGUUAAGCUGUUUUGAGAUUUAUAUAAAUAGAAUCACACAGUAUGUAUUCUUCUGUUUUUUGGCUUUCUUUCUGUGUAGUAAUUGCUUAUGCAUGCUCAUUGUUAUAUUCCAUAGAAUAUAAAGUAUAUAUGAAUGUACCACAAUUUAUUUGUUAGUUCUGGUGUUAGUGGACAUUUGAAUUAUUUCUAGUUUGAGGCUAUGCCAAAUACAAAGCUGCCGUGAACAUUCUGUUCUUUUGGCAAAAAUAUAUACACCUUUAUCUGUUAGACUGAUAAUAUCUAGAAGUGAAAUUGCUGGGUUUUAGGGUAUGCUUGUGUUCAAAUUGAGUAGAUACUGUCAAAUGGCUUCCAAGACUAUUCACAAUUUAACCUCCCACCAAGCUGUUUGGGAACUUCCACCGUGCCGCAUCCUAACCAGUAGUAAGCAUUCAAAUUCUCUUUACCUUGAGCCAUUCUGUAAGUGUGUGGUGGCAUCUUGUGUGUUUAAUUUGCUUUUUUUUUUUUUUUUUAAAUGAGAGAGGGUCUCCUGUUGCUUAGGCUGGAGUGGAGUGACACGAUCUCGGCUCACUACAGCUUUGACUUCCUGGGCUCAGGUGAUUCUCCCACCCAAGUUCCCUAGUAGCUGAGACUACAGGUGCACGCUACCGUGCCUAGCUAGCUUUUUGUAGACACAGUUUUGCCAUGUUGCCAGGCUGGUCUCAAACUCCUGGGCUCAAAUGAUCCUCCUGCCUCAGCCUCCCAAAAUGCUGGGAUUACAGGCGUGAGCCACUGCACCUGGCCAAUUUGCAUUUAUUCUGAUUACUAAUAAAAUUGAUUACUUGUAUAUGUUAUUGGAUAUCAUUUGGGUAUCCUCUAGUGAAAAAUUUGUUCAGCUUUCUUACACAUUUUUCUGUUGGGUUAUAUUUUUAAAUGUUGGUUUCUAGGAGUAAUGUUAAUGUAUUUUGGGUAUGUGCCUUUGUCAAGUAUGUGUUGCAAAUAUCUUCUCCCACUUUGAUUUUCACUCUCUUUAAUAGUUUUUUGUUGAAGUGUAUAGUCUUUCUGAACAGAAAUUCUUAAUUUUAAUAGAGUCCAAUUUUUCAAUUUGUUUCUUCAUAAUUGGAUUUUCAUGCAUGAAGUAUUGAAGUUAUUCUCCUGUGUUUACAUAUGUUUCAUAUUUAUAUUGAUAAUAAACUUGGAAUGAAUUUUGUUUGUGGUAUGAGGUAGGCAUUAUGCCUGUAAUUUUAUAUUUGCCUAUCUAGAUUCAUUUUUUUCAUUCUUCAUCCUGUUCUGUGCUCGAGGAAGCAGACCUGUCAUUUAUAGGUAAGUGCGACUGAUGUAGCUGAGGUGUAGGAAUUUCUUUGUGUGAUAGUGCUCAGGAAUUAAAGCCUACUGUGCUAGUCCUGCUUCUAGAUUCAUGACAGUUAUUGCUGACAGCCCUCUAGGAAGUCUCUUCAGAAAUUUCCCUAUCAUAAUUUGUUGUUGUUUUUCUUUCUUUGCUCAUGCUGUUACUGUAAGAAUGCCAAAUAUGGUAGAGUUUUGGUGCAUACUUGGUAGUGAAUAGUUACUUUUCUAUGAAUGAAAUAUAGGAAAAUUCUGUAUGUUCCUCUUAUUCCUUUGGAGAUAUUUCAAGAAGAAAUAUUUGACUAU